This 393-nucleotide ribosomal RNA is filed under the name uncultured bacterium. Its description in RNAcentral is "partial 16S ribosomal RNA". It matches the Rfam family "Bacterial small subunit ribosomal RNA", at positions 523 to 918 of the family's 1533-position model. The record is from RNAcentral.
AUACGGAGGAUCCGAGCGUUAUCCGGAUUUAUUGGGUUUAAAGGGAGCGCAGGCGGGCGAUUAAGUCGGCGGUGAAAUUUUGCAGCUCAACUGUAAAAGGGCCUUCGAAACUGGUUUUCUUGAGUGUAGAUGAAGUAGGGGGAAUUUGGGGUGUAGCGGUGGAAUGCAUAGAGAUCACGAGGAACUCCGAUUGCGCAGGCAGCUUACUAAACUACUACUGACGCUCAGGCACGAAGGCGUGGGGAUCAAACAGGAUUAGAUACCCUGGUAGUCCACGCAGUAAACGAUGAUUACUAGCUGUUUGCGAUACAAUGUAAGCGGCUGAGCGAAAGCGUUAAGUAAUCCACCUGGGGAGUACGUUCGCAAGAAUGAAACUCAAAGGAAUUGACGGGG